AACGCGAAGAACCUUACCUACCUUUGAAUCCACGGAAUCUUACAGAGAUGUAGGAGUGCCUUCGGGAACCGUGAGACAGGUGCUGCAUGGCUGUCGUCAGCUCGUGUCGUGAGAUGUUGGGUUAAGUCCCGUAACGAGCGCAACCCUUGUCCUUAGUUACCAGCGAGUAAAGUCGGGUACUUUAAGGAGACUGCCGGUGAUAAACCGGAGGAAGGUGGGGAUGACGUCAAGUCCUCAUGGCCCUUACAGGUAGGGCUACACACGUGCUACAAUGGCCGGUACAGAGGGUUGCCAACCCGCGAGGGGGAGCUAAUCCCAAAAAGCCGGUCGUAGUCCGGAUUGGAGUCUGCAACUCGACUCCAUGAAGUUGGAAUCGCUAGUAAUCGCGGAUCAGAACGCCGCGGUGAAUACGUUCCCGGGCCUUGUA
This 427-nucleotide ribosomal RNA is filed under the name uncultured Gammaproteobacteria bacterium. RNAcentral's name for it is "bacterial SSU rRNA". It matches the Rfam family "Bacterial small subunit ribosomal RNA", at positions 958 to 1385 of the family's 1533-position model. Lineage: Bacteria; Pseudomonadati; Pseudomonadota; Gammaproteobacteria. The record is from RNAcentral.